This 228-nucleotide ribosomal RNA is filed under the name uncultured archaeon. RNAcentral's name for it is "partial 16S ribosomal RNA". It matches the Rfam family "Archaeal small subunit ribosomal RNA", at positions 23 to 246 of the family's 1478-position model. The record is from RNAcentral.
GCCACUGCUAUUGGGGUUCGGCUAAGCCAUGCGAGUGGAGGGCGUCCCGCAAGGGAUGGCCCCGCAGACGGCUCAGUAACACGUCGUCAACCCACCUUAGGGUGGGGGACAACCUCGGGAAACUGAGGAUAAUCCCCCAUAGGCGGGGGAGGCUGGAAUGCGCCCCCGCUGAAAGCUCAGGCGCCCUAGGACGGGACUGCGGCCCAUCAGGCUGUUGGUGGUGUGACG